GGCAGGUCCGAAGGUAGUAGUUAUCUCACUUGAUUGUUCACAGUCAGUGACAGAUUGAACUCCUUGUUCUACUACUUUCCCCCCUCCUCACUACUGCACUUGACUAGUCUUAA
This 113-nucleotide Y RNA is filed under the name Prolemur simus (greater bamboo lemur). RNAcentral describes it as "Y RNA (ENSPSMG00000007589.1)". It matches the Rfam family "Y RNA". From Rfam's summary of the family: Y RNAs are components of the Ro ribonucleoprotein particle (Ro RNP), in association with Ro60 and La proteins. Lineage: Eukaryota; Metazoa; Chordata; Mammalia; Primates; Lemuridae. The record is from Rfam by way of RNAcentral.